GGAAUAUUGGACAAUGGGCGCAAGCCUGAUCCAGCCAUGCCGCGUGAGUGAUGAAGGUCUUAGGAUUGUAAAGCUCUUUCAGUGGGGACGAUAAUGACGGUACCCACAGAAGAAGCCCCGGCUAACUUCGUGCCAGCAGCCGCGGUAAUACGAAGGGGGCUAGCGUUGUUCGGAAUUACUGGGCGUAAAGCGCACGUAGGCGGAUAUUUAAGUCGGGGGUGAAAUCCCGGGGCUCAACCCCGGAACUGCCUUCGAUACUGGGUAUCUUGAGUUCGGAAGAGGUGAGUGGAAUUGCGAGUGUAGAGGUGAAAUUCGUAGAUAUUCGCAGGAACACCAGUGGCGAAGGCGGCUCACUGGUCCGAUACUGACGCUGAGGUACGAAAGCGUGGGGAGCAAACAGGAUUAGAUACCCCGG
RNAcentral lists this ribosomal RNA (415 nucleotides) under uncultured Aureimonas sp. RNAcentral describes it as "bacterial SSU rRNA". It matches the Rfam family "Bacterial small subunit ribosomal RNA", at positions 358 to 790 of the family's 1533-position model. The record is from RNAcentral. Lineage: Bacteria; Pseudomonadati; Pseudomonadota; Alphaproteobacteria; Hyphomicrobiales; Aurantimonadaceae.